CACCAAGUCGCUGGAAUCCUCUGGAGUCGUCGUCGGUGGAAAUUUAAAGAUGUAUGGCCCAGUUUGUUGCGGCCGCAGGGUGCGCGCCACUUGCAAAUUUGAAUCGGGCCGGCUUGCAGGUAAGUAAGUUCAUGGUGGAUUGCGUAGGAUGGUAACAUUAUCAUCUGUUUGCUUUGUUUACAUUUUCAAAUUGCCAAAUGUUUACAAAGUCUUUAAAUUUAAAUUUAAUAUUGCUUUUUAUUUCUCUUUACAGGUACCCCCGCCAGAAGGACGGAAGCACCAAGUCACUGGAGACCUCAGGAGUCAUUGCCGGUGGAGAAUUGGGGAUGUUUGGCCCAAUUUGUUGCAGUCGCAGGGUGCGCGCAACUUGCAACAUUUGAGUUGGACCAGCGUUGCAGACACUCCGCCAGUUGUCAACAUUGAGGUUCCGAUGUGGAUCCCGCGCAGCCGUUAUUGCGGUCAUUUUAGAGUUGCUGGCAACAUUUGGCGGUGGAGUCUGCCUGAAUUUGGGCAGGAAACUCAUCGCUUUAAGUGGAUUCGUUACGCUCUACGUCUGCCAAUAAGCUGCCAAACUGUUCUCUGGUUUUUUCUCCAGUUGUCAGGGGGUCCAGAACGCUGUCAGUUCCCGCGCCGCCGUCUCGUUGCAAGGUCCGAAAAGUUGCUGCAUCUCAGCUAGUGUCCUUCAGAAAUCGGCAGGGAGGUCAUCAUUGAUUUGAAGUCGUCAGAAUUGCCGCUUUCUUAGGUCAUCUCGCCAGGAAUAGAGGAGCAUCUUAUAAUCGCUUAUAGAAAAUUGCAUUAGAUAAGUGUGCCUAUGUGUUUAAUUUUUUGUUUUUGUCUGAUUGGCAUUUGUCUUUUCUUUAACAGGUCCAGUUGUCCGGGAUUUUUCAAUUUGGGAAUCAAGGGAUGAGAGGCUAAUAAAAAUGUGCAAAUUCGUGUAGUUAGACAACAGGCAUUUUGACGAGCCUCGGACCCUAGUUAUUUGUUUGUAUUGGCAGAGAGGGGCGUUGUCGAGAGCUGCCGAGUUGGAUUUGGAAAUAGCAUGGGCUGGAUAUGCAGUGCUGUGGAUUGGACGCAAUAGUUGUCACUGGAGGUCAUUGAGGGGAAAAAGACGAAUUUGGAGUGCGCGAAUUUUUUCACUUCCGACAGCAGCAGCGCCACGCAAAUGGUCCACUGUGACGAGGGUAGACUGUGGCAUGGAGACGCCAUUAAUUCUCGUCAGUUUGCUGCGACAGUUGCGUUGCCGUUGCUGAUUUUGGGAAUCGCUAGGGUUACGCAUGUAAAAUGAAUUCGUCUAUUUAAAGGGGUUUCGUCAGUGUAACCUUGCUGCGGGAAAAAGUCAAAUUCGAGGGUCACGAUUUCGACCUUUUGCCGGGUCAGCAGCGCCGCGCCUAAGGUCAAGAAAGUCGAGGGGGCAUCCCCACAUGGAAAUGGCAUCAAAACAUGAUACGAUUUAUAUGUUUUAAGUGCCAAAAUCUCUAUUUUCGGUUACGUCGAGUCGGGAAGUAGUCAGUUGCGUAGUUUUAUGCCUUUAUUAAUUUGUUAUAUUCUUUUUCAGGGAUGUUGUCAGUAUACCGUUGCUACCAGGAAAAAAUCGAAUUCAAGAGUCACGAUUUUGACCUUUUGCCGGGUCAGCAGCGCCGCGCCAAGGGUCAAUAAAAUCGAGGGGCUUCUUAACAUAGAGACGGCAUCAAAACAUUGUUAAUGUUUUAUAUAUAUUAUUAUAUAGCUCUCUGUUUUAUGUUUUGAUUAAAUUAUUUCAAUCUUUAACAAAGAUUUCGUCGAUAUUACAUUUCUGAGGAAAAAAGUCAAUUUCAAGGGUCACGAUUUCGACCUUUUUCCGGGUCGGCAGCACCACGCCUAGGGUCUAUAAAAUCGUGGGGGAAUCUCAGUAUGGAGACGGCAUCCUAACAUUGUAUGUUU
Molecule: RNA transcript, 1920 nt
Organism: Drosophila teissieri
Lineage: Eukaryota; Metazoa; Arthropoda; Insecta; Diptera; Drosophilidae
Exons: 4
Source: RefSeq, a predicted model, not a curated record